Molecule: ribosomal RNA, 997 nt
Filed under: uncultured organism
Description: bacterial SSU rRNA
Rfam family: Bacterial small subunit ribosomal RNA
Source: RNAcentral
GGGGGAUAUUGCACAAUGGGGGAAACCCUGAUGCAGCGACGCCGCGUGGAGGAAGAAGGUUUUCGGAUUGUAAACUCCUGUCGUUAGGGACGAUAAUGACGGUACCUAACAAGAAAGCACCGGCUAACUACGUGCCAGCAGCCGCGGUAAAACGUAGGGUGCAAGCGUUGUCCGGAAUUACUGGGUGUAAAGGGAGCGCAGGCGGGAAGACAAGUUGGAAGUGAAAACCAUGGGCUCAACCCAUGAAUUGCUUUCAAAACUGUUUUUCUUGAGUAGUGCAGAGGUAGAUGGAAUUCCCGGUGUAGCGGUGGAAUGCGUAGAUAUCGGUAGGAACACCAGUGGCGAAGGCGGUCUACUGGGCACCAACUGACGCUGAGGCUCGAAAGCAUGGGUAGCAAACAGGAUUAGAUACCCUGGUAGUCCAUGCCGUAAACGAUGAUUACUAGGUGUUGGGGGAUUGACCCCCUCAGUGCCGCAGUUAACACAAUAAGUAAUCCACCUGGGGAGUACGACCGCAAGGUUGAAACUCAAAGGAAUUGACGGGGGCCCGCACAAGCAGUGGAGUAUGUGGUUUAAUUCGAAGCAACGCGAAGAACCUUACCAGGUCCUGACAUCCGAUGCAUAGCACAGAGAUGUGUGAAAUCCUUCGGGACAUCGAGACAGGUGGUGCAUGGUUGUCGUCAGCUCGUGUCGUGAGAUGUUGGGUUAAGUCCCGCAACGAGCGCAACCCUUAUUGCCAGUUACUACGUUAAGAGGACUCUGGCGAGACUGCCGUUGACAAAACGGAGGAAGGUGGGGAUGACGUCAAAUCAUCAUGCCCUUUAUGACCUGGGCUACACACGUACUACAAUGGCGUUAAACAAAGAGAAGCAAGACCGCGAGGUGGAGCAAAACUCAAAAACAACGUCUCAGUUCAGAUUGCAGGCUGCAACUCGCCUGCAUGAAGUCGGAAUUGCUAGUAAUCGCGGAUCAGCAUGCCGCGGUGAAUACGUUCCCG